RNAcentral lists this ribosomal RNA (366 nucleotides) under Bothriurus sp. AVDM-2012. RNAcentral's name for it is "partial 16S ribosomal RNA". It matches the Rfam family "Archaeal large subunit ribosomal RNA", at positions 2040 to 2632 of the family's 2987-position model. Lineage: Eukaryota; Metazoa; Arthropoda; Arachnida; Scorpiones; Bothriuridae. The record is from RNAcentral.
CAUAAUCAUUAGUCCUUUAAUUGUGGACUGGAAUGAACGGUCCGACUAAAUACUUUUGUCUUAUGUUUAUACUUCGAAUUUUAUUUUUUAAUAAAAAAGCUAAAAUAGUCUUAAGGGACGAGAAGACCCUAUCAAGCUUUACAAUUUAUUUAUUUAUUAACAAUUUAAAUAGUAUAUUGUUUCACUGGGGCAGUGGGUAAAAAGUUUUUAUUUAAAUAUUGUGAWAUUAUUUCUAGAGAAACCAAAAAUUUUUUAAGUAAGAAUAAGUUACUGUAGGGAUAACAGCAUAAUUUUUUUAAAGAGUUCUUAUCGUCAAAAAAGUUUGUGACCUCGAUGUUGGAUUAAAAUUCCUAAUUUACGCAGCAG